This 457-nucleotide ribosomal RNA is filed under the name uncultured bacterium. RNAcentral describes it as "partial 16S ribosomal RNA". It matches the Rfam family "Bacterial small subunit ribosomal RNA", at positions 28 to 523 of the family's 1533-position model. The record is from RNAcentral.
GACGAACGCUGGCGGCAUGCCUAACACAUGCAAGUCGAACGGGAUCCUAGCUUGCUAGGUGAGAGUGGCGGACGGGUGAGUAACACGUGGGAAUCUGACUUUUGGUCUGGGAUAACCGCGGGAAACUGCGGCUAAUACCGGAUGCACCCGUGAGGGGAAAGAUUUAUCGCCAGAAGAGGAGCCCGCGUCCGAUUAGGUAGUUGGUGGGGUAAAGGCCUACCAAGCCGACGAUCGGUAGCUGGUCUGAGAGGAUGAUCAGCCACACUGGGACUGAGAUACGGCCCAGACUCCUACGGGAGGCAGCAGUGGGGAAUAUUGGACAAUGGGCGAAAGCCUGAUCCAGCAAUGCCGCGUGAGUGAUGAAGGCCUUAGGGUUGUAAAGCUCUUUUGCCGGGGAAGAUGAUGACGGUACCUGGAGAAUAAGCCCCGGCUAACUUCGUGCCAGCAGCCGCAGUAA